CCGAAAUGCUGAUGUUCCUAUCCCUGAGCAUCCUUCUGCCUUAUGCAACCAUGGCUGCCCCAGUUCGAAUUAGUGCUCAGCAGCUAGCUCCGCAGAAUGAAGUUGACGUUCUGGUUUAUGGGGUAAUGCAGUUCAGUACAGCACUGCAUGAGCUCUAUAGCUCCACAGCACAGAAGCUUGACAAGAUCAGACAUAGGACUAACAUCUAUGAGGAGGGUGUGCAAACACUACAUCGCCAAGUCCAGAAUGCCCAGCAGAAGCAACAAGAGACCAGAAUAAUCUUGGAGAGGCUGAAGGCUCAGGACACAGUGCUGAAGAAGGAGGCGCAGAGACAUGAGGAAGUGCUGCAAGGAGUGUUUGUGGAGCAACAAAACUUGGCACACCGACUGAGGGCUCUUGAAGUCAUGCUGUCAUUCAUGGAAAAACAAGAUUUCCAAGAUCAGGAAGGAAAAGUUGCUGCCCUGAAGAUGAAGAGCCAUACAGGUGGCAAAUGAACACUAAGAACCUAGAAAGAGACACUGUAGCAAAACACACAACAAGAAGAUAGAGAAGACUGCUACCUUCAGAGCUGAAAACGACAUGUUAUCAUCUUUAAAGGCUGUAGGAGCUUCGUGACAGCUAUUUGCAUGCAUCCUGCAAGAGAGCUGUGUGUAAGAAUAGAAAUGUGUUUAGCUCAGGGAUCAAGAGUGAGCUGAGAGGAAUGCCCAGCUUCACCACAAGCAAUUUCCAUCCAUAGCUGAAUUGAGCUUGCACAGGUGGAAGAGGCACAUGUCACCUUCGCACAGGAGUUAACUGCAAAUCAUUCAAGGAGCUUUUUAAAAAGUUAAAAUCAUCCCUGAACACAAGCAACAGAAGUAACCUUGCAAAUUACAGAGAUGCCAUCUGAACAGUUAUCUGCUGCAUCUGAGAUGAUUCUGACAUAAGGAGCUUAUCAUUUCUCUUCUUUAAGUAUGUUACUCAGUGUUGGUGGGGGUUCUGUGCUGUAACACAACCCUUGGUACCAAAAGGACUCAGGAAUGAGAGAAGUAUUAUUCCUGCUUCCUGAGAUCAAACACCAGGAUGGAGCCAUUGCAGUGGCUGUUAAAGAACUAAAGCUUUACUUCCUGCAUGAUGGAACUGGCUUAGUACCUAGUUUGAUGACAACAGCUGCUAACAGUUAGGGCCAAAAUCUUGGCACUGUAAUCUGACAAUUCUGAGCAUUUAAAGCUACAGAUCAACCUACAUCCUGACACAUGACAGCAGAGUCCUAAACACGAAUGGCCUCAUUUAAAAGUGCUAGUGAGUACUGCCAGACAGAGCAAGACAAAACUAUUUCCAUUAUGUAAGAUUUGGUCCCAUCCACUACCAUCCUUUCCUCCUAACUACAUAUGUUUAAGGAACACCAUGCUGUUUGUAAAAAGAUCCAGCAACAGAGGGAAAACAGAGAAAGGGGUGACCCAGCAUGAAGGAAAUGGACGUGAACAUUUCAGGCAACCUGAUAUUUCCCUGCAGAAUUGUUUUUUCUUUUAAUGGAUUGCCUUAAUUUCCUAGAACAAUAAACUCCAGUUGCAUUCUUUUGUUUUUCCCACUUUAGAACAUACAGAAGAAUUUAAUAGCACAAGACUGAAAGAAGCAGAGCUAAGACAGGGAGGUUAAACACCAUAAAGCAUAAAAGUGGAGAUACAUUGGCUCAGAUUCCCAACCCCAACCUCAUACAGCAUUUAAUCUGCCCUAUGAUAUGAAGUACACCCACCUAUAU
RNA transcript from Anolis carolinensis (green anole), 1738 nucleotides. RefSeq lists it as uncharacterized. The record is from RefSeq and is a predicted model, not a curated record. The transcript is spliced from 3 exons. NCBI's taxonomy places the organism in Eukaryota, Metazoa, Chordata, Lepidosauria, Squamata, Anolidae.